GGCCUCUGUACAUUACAGAGGCUGGCAUUGAACUUGGAUCCUCCUGCCUCAGCUUCCUGAGUCUCUGGGAAUACUGGCAUGGGCCAGUGCUACUGGCUGAUGUUGCCUUUAGAGGCCUUUUUGCCCUACAAUUUGGACCUCCAACUUAUGUGUGCCCAGUUAUUUUUCUGGGUUCCUCAGCAGUCUAUAUGGCACUUAGACUCUCUCCUGAAGAUUGGGUAGGUUUUAAUUUGAAUUUUGGCUCAACCCUAUAAUAACUGUGCAACCCAAAAACUGAUUUGAUGCCUCUGAACAAUCAAUUCAUCUGUGAAAUGGGAGCAUGAGUUGCUACUUCUAUCCGAAUUAAGUGAUAAACAUAGAAAAUGACAGCUGUUAGCCUGUGUGUGCCCAUGCUGUUCCUGUAACCUAGAGCCCAGUUGGACUCCCAGCUGGUUGACUCUUGCUCAUCCUUAAAUAAUACUGACAAAAACAAACAACUGGCCAGGUGCAGUGGUGCAAGCCUGUAAUCCCAGUGGCUAAGGAGGCUGAAACAGGAGGAUCACAACAAGUUCAAAGCCAGCCUCAACAACAGUGAGGUGCUGAGCAACUCAGUGAGACCCUGUCUUUAAAUAACACAAAAUAGUGCUGGGGAUGUGACUCAGUGGCCGAGUGCCCCUAAAUUCAAUCCCUGACACCCCCCCCAAAACAAACACACAAACUGAUAAGCACUCUUCUAUAGCACUUCAUGUAUAUUAGCUUGUUCUCACAGUAGUCCUAUAGGAUGGAUGCUAUUUAUUAUCCCCAUUUUACAGAUAAGUAAACUGAGGUUAAACCUAAAUAGCUAGGCUCCAUAGCCUGUAUCUUUAACCACUAUCUUUACGCAAUGACUCUUCAAUAAUAUAAUUAAUACAAUAAUAGUUCAAAUAACAAGAUCACAGAACACGAGGCUGCAGUUGCAGCUAAUCCUUCCUGAGGGCUUGCUGGGGCUAGGCCAAAGCAACUGCUAUGCAAGCUUUUUGUAUGAGUCAAGAUGUAACAGGAGAGAAAAUGGAGGCUCUGAAAGGCAGGGUCACAGAGGGUGGCAGGACCAGGUCUAAACCGGGGCUUGGCUGAUGAUAAAUCUUUUGGUGAUGACUAAUCGGGAUUUCCUUCUCACCACACCCCUCCCUGGCAGACAGAGCAGCUUUAGUCCUCUGUCUUGUCCUUAGGCUCUGUUACUUCUUGCUGCCAGGCCUUUGCACUGCUGUGCCCACUGCCUGGAGCCCUCCUUUUGUCUCUGUGCCCCUCCUUAAGACUAGAUGAGGCUGUCAGUUUUAUGAUCUCAGAACUAAUUGCACUUUCUCAUAACAGUCACUAUCCAGGACAGUCACGUUCUCUAGUUCUGUCUUCCUGAUUUUUUCCAUUUUUUUUUUUAUUGGUGCAUUAUAUUUGUACUGUCUCCUUGAUUUCUUAAUCCUGGGCAUCCCCAAGCCUUAGGUUUUGGUCUUCCUGUCUGUCCCACUCAAGCCAUAAAUUACUCUGUCUUGAGGCUAUCAACAUCUAAAUUUCCAUCUUCAGCCCAAACACAGCCCCUGAACUCCAGACUCCUACAUCCUGCAUCCUGGGGCAGUGGAGGUUCUCAGGCUUCGCACAUCCUAAACUGAGCUUCUGACCUUUCUCCCAAACCCACUCUUCCCUAAAUCAACAGUAUCUCUUCCAGUUAUUGAGGCCAAACAUCACUGGGUCUCCUUCGACUUCUUUAUACCCACUAGUUUACAUUCUGUCUCAGCCAUUCUGCCUUUCCAAAACCCACAGAAGCAGCCGAGCUUGGUGGUACACGCCUGUAAUCCCAGUGGCUCAGGAAGCUAAGACUGGAGGAUGGAGAGUUCAAAGCCAACCUCAGCAAAGCGAGGCGCUAAGCAACUCAGUGAGACCCUGUCUCUAAAUAAAAUACAAAAUAGGGCUGGGGAUGUGGCUUAGUGGUAGAGUGCCCCUGAGUUCAAUCCUUGAUGUCCCCCCCCAAAAAAAAAAAACCCACCAAAGCAUUAAAUGGUGGAAGAACCAAGGUGGAGGGUUCGUAAAGAUAUGCACAUUUAUGUUUAGUCAGGCUUGAGGGCCAAAGUUAUGCGGUAAAUCUGGUUCUUCAGGUUCAUUGGCAUCCUCAUGGCACCAGGGACCAGAGCUUUGGGGAACAGUUUCCCUUUGGCUUCUGUUCUAAGCAUAAUUGCCUGUAGUAAGCUAAGAUAAAGAAAUAAAAAACUAGUUAGCAGGGCAAUGUUUAAGUCUCCUUCACCUUUUUCAAUUUUAGCUGGGCUGUAAUCCCAACAGCUCAGGAGGCUGAGACAGGAGGAUAGCAAGUUGAAGCCAGUCUCAGCAAUUUAGCAAGACCCUGUCUUAAAAUAAAUUAAAAAUGGUUUGGGGAUGUGACUCAGUGGUUAAAUGCCUGUAGGUUCAAUCCCUGGUGAAAAAAAAAAAUACAUAUAAAAUCUGGAUGAGAUGUUAUGUUGCCUGAGAUUUGAUUUAAAUAAUGGGGUUAGGAGGAAUAAACAAAAUAAGGUUGGCCAUAUGUUGACAAUUACUGAAACUGGGUCAGGGGUAUUGGAAAGCCCCAUUCUUGCUGGGCCAGGUGGUCCAAGUUUGUAACUCCAGCAACUCUCAAGCUGGGGUAGGAGGAUCUCAAGUUAGUUCAAGGCCAGUCUCAACAAUUUAGUGGGACCCUGUCUCAAAAUAAAAAAGGGCCGGAC
RNAcentral lists this long non-coding RNA (2702 nucleotides) under Marmota monax (woodchuck). Lineage: Eukaryota; Metazoa; Chordata; Mammalia; Rodentia; Sciuridae. The record is from RNAcentral.